This 503-nucleotide ribosomal RNA is filed under the name uncultured bacterium. RNAcentral's name for it is "partial 16S ribosomal RNA". It matches the Rfam family "Bacterial small subunit ribosomal RNA", at positions 30 to 523 of the family's 1533-position model. The record is from RNAcentral.
AUUGAACGCUGGCGGCAGGCUUAACACAUGCAAGUCGAGCGGGGUGAUGGUGCUUGCACUAUCACUUAGCGGCGGACGGGUGAGUAAUGCUUAGGAAUCUGCCUAUUAGUGGGGGACAACAUCUCGAAAGGGAUGCUAAUACCGCAUACGUCCUACGGGAGAAAGCAGGGGAUCACUUGUGACCUUGCGCUAAUAGAUGAGCCUAAGUCGGAUUAGCUAGUUGGUGGGGUAAAGGCCUACCAAGGCGACGAUCUGUAGCGGGUCUGAGAGGAUGACCCGCCACAUGGGGACAGGGAACCGGCCCAGAUGCCUACGGGAGGCAGCAGUCGGGAAUAUUGGACAAUGGGGGGAACCCUGAUCCAGCCAUGCCGCGUGUGUGAAGAAGGCCUUAUGGUUGUAAAGCACUUUAAGCGAGGAGGAGGCUCUUUUGGUUAAUACCCAAGAUGAGUGGACGUUACUCGCAGGAUAAGCACCGGCUAACUCUGUGCCAGCCGCCGCAGUAA